Molecule: unclassified non-coding RNA, 270 nt
Filed under: Hevea brasiliensis (rubber tree)
Lineage: Eukaryota; Viridiplantae; Streptophyta; Magnoliopsida; Malpighiales; Euphorbiaceae
Source: RNAcentral
CAGAUUACUUUUCUGGCCAACUAAUUCCAGAUGCUUCCAGUUCAUUCUCCUCUGUUCCUUUCUGCACUUGAUCCUUCUUUCUCACAUUUCUUCUGUAAUACAUUCUCAAUGGUUUUGGGCCUUGAUCCACGACUCCUGGACUUCUAGAUCCGCUGCUAUCACCAGUGGCAAAGCCAUGUUAUGGAUUCUCUAUUUUAUUUAAUAUAUAGAUAUAUAUAUUAUUAAGCAGUUUGAACCCAAGACUUACUGAUGCAAACCUCAAGAACGAUG